This 75-nucleotide transfer RNA is filed under the name Luteolibacter sp. RNAcentral describes it as "tRNA-Thr". It matches the Rfam family "tRNA". Rfam says of the family: Transfer RNA (tRNA) molecules are approximately 80 nucleotides in length. Lineage: Bacteria; Pseudomonadati; Verrucomicrobiota; Verrucomicrobiia; Verrucomicrobiales; Verrucomicrobiaceae. RNAcentral also lists the same sequence under 8 other names. The record is from RNAcentral.
GCCGCUGUAGCUCAGGGGUAGAGCAAUUCAUUCGUAAUGAAUAGGUCGUCGGUUCAAUUCCGACCAGCGGCUCCA